This is a small nuclear RNA of Rattus norvegicus (Norway rat), 100 nucleotides long. The record is from Ensembl. NCBI's taxonomy places the organism in Eukaryota, Metazoa, Chordata, Mammalia, Rodentia, Muridae.
UUGCUUUGGUGGUACACACACUAAGAUUGGAACAACACAGAGAUUAACAUGGCCCCUGUGCAAGGAUGACACUCAUAUUCAUGAAUCUUGCCAUAUUUUU